GUGGAAGGGGGUCCUUUUUUUUUUCAAUCGUGGCAGCCGGGUCGAAGGAGCCAGGGGGCAAGGCGCGCCCCCAGCCGUUCUCCAUCGGAAAUACCGGCGUCGCGUACCUCCUGCUCGCGUUGACGAGCGGAGGAGGACGAGGCCAGGAGGCAGGCGCACUCGUCCAUCGCCGCCGAGGCCGCCCGCAGCCUUCAUCUCCGUCCAUCUCACAAGGCCGGCGCAUGGAGAAGCCAGGAGAGACGUGCACAUCCUCUCCGCAUCCAUCAUCGUCCAAGCCGCCGCCGGCGCCCGAGGCCAAGUUCUCACGAAGAAGCGGUAGUCCGGCCAUUAGGGCCCCAUCGAUCUGCUCGUCGUGGCCGGCUUGGCAGCCAACCGGCCGGAGCAGCGCCGCCUUGCUGCUUGCACCUAGACGAGAUUGUCGUGGAUCAAAUCCAUCUACUCCAUGGAUCAAGAAUUGAAAGUGAUCGGGUGCUCUAGUCUAAGAGGGAGAGGGGGUGAAUUAGCCACUAAUAAAAACUUUGACCUAUGGCUCCAACUAGUUUGCACAAAACUUGAACUAAAGCAUGCUAUCUAGAUGUGCAACUAGGUUGUUCUAGGGUGAAACCCCUAUCCCAAAAGAGUUAUGCACCCUAUAUCCUUUCCUAACAAAAAAUUAUUCUAUAAAAGUAAAUGCACAAAGGUUGCAAGUAUUAAAUGCGGAAGCUUAAAGAGCGGGAUAGGAGAUAGCAAACUCUUGACGCGGGUGUUUAUCCCGUGGUUUCUGUUAGCCACAAAUGCACAUUUAUCCCGUGGUUUCUGUUAGCCACAAAUGCACAUCUACAUCCACGUUGUUAUAGCACUCACUAAGAGUAUUGCUACUCGGCCACCAAGUCUUUUCCGUGAACACAAUCACGAUCACAUUGGCCCCGGGUUACACUAAGGAGCUUCUCCACAAAGGAUGGGGGUCUCCACGUCCUCCACACAAAGAUGUCGUCGCUGCUCCACACCAAGUCGAAGGGUCGAUGACGUUGCCGGCGAGCUUCGCAGCUCCAAGGAGGCUGGCGUAUCAAGCUCUUGUUUGGUUCAAUAGAGAACCACAGCACAAAAGCUUAAGGCCUUGCAAUCUCACUCACUAAGAGCUAUUCUAGCACUCAUACUUUACAAGCUAGUGCUAAAAGCUAAGGAUAUGAUCUUGAUG
Molecule: long non-coding RNA, 1177 nt
Organism: Panicum virgatum (switchgrass)
Lineage: Eukaryota; Viridiplantae; Streptophyta; Magnoliopsida; Poales; Poaceae
Exons: 2
Source: RefSeq, a predicted model, not a curated record